RNAcentral lists this ribosomal RNA (465 nucleotides) under uncultured bacterium. Its description in RNAcentral is "partial 16S ribosomal RNA". It matches the Rfam family "Bacterial small subunit ribosomal RNA", at positions 28 to 507 of the family's 1533-position model. The record is from RNAcentral.
GACGAACGCUGGCGGCGUGCUUAACACAUGCAAGUCGAGCGAGGCCCCUCCUUCGGGAGGGUGUCCUAGCGGCGAACGGGUGAGUAACACGUGGGCAACCUGCCCUCAGCUCUGGGAUAACUCCGGGAAACCGGGGCUAAUACCGGAUACGACCUCCACGGGCAUCUGCGGAGGUGGAAAGUUUUUCGGCUGAGGAUGGGCCCGCGGCCUAUCAGCUAGUUGGUGGGGUAGUGGCCCACCAAGGCGACGACGAGUAGCCGGCCUGAGAGGGCGACCGGCCACACUGGGACUGAGACACGGCCCAGACUCCUACGGGAGGCAGCAGUGGGGAAUAUUGCGCAAUGGGCGAAAGCCUGACGCAGCGACGCCGCGUGAGGGACGAAGGCCUUCGGGUUGUAAACCUCUUUCAGCAGGGACGAAGCGAAAGUGACGGUACCUGCAGAAGAAGCACCGGCCAACUACGUG